CCUACGGGCGGCAGCAGUGAGGAAUAUUGGUCAAUGGACGAGAGUCUGAACCAGCCAAGUAGCGUGAAGGAUGACUGCCCUAUGGGUUGUAAACUUCUUUUAUAUGGGAAUAAAAUGUUCCCCGUGUGGGAUUUUGUAUGUACCAUAUGAAUAAGGAUCGGCUAACUUCGUGUCAGCAGCCGCGGUAAUUUGGAGGAUCCGAGCGUUAUCCGGAUUUAGUGGGUUUAAAGGGAGCGUAGGUGGAUUGUUAAGUCAGGUGUGAAAGUUUGCGGCGCAACCGUAAAAUUGCAGUUGAAACUGGCAGUCUUGAGUACAGUAGAGGUGGGCGGAAUUCGUGGUGUAGCGGUGAAAUGCUUAGAUAUCACGAAGAACUCCGAUUGCGAAGGCAGCUCACUGGACUGCAACUGACACUGAGGCUCGAAAGUGUGGGUAUCAAACAGGAUUAGAUACCCCAGUAGUC
RNAcentral lists this ribosomal RNA (460 nucleotides) under uncultured bacterium. RNAcentral describes it as "partial 16S ribosomal RNA". It matches the Rfam family "Bacterial small subunit ribosomal RNA", at positions 338 to 795 of the family's 1533-position model. The record is from RNAcentral.